Molecule: transfer RNA, 69 nt
Filed under: Rattus norvegicus (Norway rat)
Lineage: Eukaryota; Metazoa; Chordata; Mammalia; Rodentia; Muridae
Rfam family: tRNA
About the family: Transfer RNA (tRNA) molecules are approximately 80 nucleotides in length. Their secondary structure includes four short double-helical elements and three loops (D, anti-codon, and T loops). Further hydrogen bonds mediate the characteristic L-shaped molecular structure. tRNAs have two regions of fundamental functional importance: the anti-codon, which is responsible for specific mRNA codon recognition, and the 3' end, to which the tRNAs corresponding amino acid is attached (by aminoacyl-tRNA synthetases). tRNAs cope with the degeneracy of the genetic code in two manners: having more than one tRNA (with a specific anti-codon) for a particular amino acid; and 'wobble' base-pairing, i.e. permitting non-standard base-pairing at the 3rd anti-codon position.
Source: Rfam by way of RNAcentral
GGGGAUUUAGCUCAGUGGUAGAGCGCUUGCCUAGCAAGCGCAAGGCCCUGGGUUCGGUCCUCAGCCCCA